AAAGAUUUAGUAUAGAGAAGUAUAAUUUAUUGUCAAUAAUUAGGGUGAGUCUUUG
This 55-nucleotide transfer RNA is filed under the name Angiostrongylus mackerrasae. RNAcentral describes it as "tRNA-Asp". The record is from RNAcentral. Lineage: Eukaryota; Metazoa; Nematoda; Chromadorea; Rhabditida; Metastrongylidae.